ACUUGCCUUCAUUGUUGGUUGAUGGCAGAGAUUGGACUACAACUCAAAUUUAAGGAGCUUUUAAAUAAGCCUACAGGCUGCCAAUGUCAUGUUAACAGAAUUCCCCAACGUAAGGAUACUUCAAUGACAAUCCCUAAGAGAAUAUUAUCUGGGGACAGCUUCCAAAAUCAUGCUCGCUAAGCUUGAACAACCUCAACAAGACAACGUUUUAAAUAAAAUGUUAAGGAAA
This is a long non-coding RNA of Homo sapiens (human), 229 nucleotides long. RefSeq lists it as uncharacterized. The transcript is spliced from 2 exons. The record is from RefSeq and is a predicted model, not a curated record. Lineage: Eukaryota; Metazoa; Chordata; Mammalia; Primates; Hominidae.